GUCUGUCCGGUCAUGCAGGCAGCAAGAAGCAACAGCAGCACGAAGGAGCAGCAGCAGCGGGCUGGAGGCCGCAGGGCUGCACUCCCACCAUGGCGGGGUUCUGGCCCCUUUACUCCCACCAUAGAGGCUGAUGGAGGCCGGCUGACGUGAUGAGGCCUCAUGGCCACGCUGGUGUUGAGGUGAUUCUCCAGAGACUCCUGGUUGAGGCAGAACCCGGGCCCCGUGUGGAGCAGGCAGAACCUGGGCCUGCGGCGUGCUGCAGGGGGAGGAGCCGCCCGGCCCGCGGGGCGAGGAGCCGCCCGGCCUAGAUGACUCAAGGCGGCGUCUCCAGCGUCGUUCACCGGCGGCCAUCUUACUACAGGACACUCUGGUCACUAUCGUUGUUGCUGUUGGAGGUGAGGCGAGCGCUGCGGGGGAGGAGACUCCAGGAGCCGCUCCGGCCUGCAGGAGGAUGAAGAUGCAACAGUUUCCCCAUAUUUGUAAUGGAUAUUUAUUCCAAACAAACCACUUUUAACGACGUUUCCAUCUAUCAAAGGGUGAAGCUAGCGGGCCCUCGUCAUUUGUGAUGUAUCAGUUGGAAAUGUUCCGCUCUCUCAAUAAAUGUUUUCUCAAAGUG
Cololabis saira (Pacific saury) is the source of this 616-nucleotide long non-coding RNA. RefSeq lists it as uncharacterized. The record is from RefSeq and is a predicted model, not a curated record. Lineage: Eukaryota; Metazoa; Chordata; Actinopteri; Beloniformes; Belonidae. The transcript has 5 exons.